RNAcentral lists this ribosomal RNA (252 nucleotides) under uncultured bacterium. Its description in RNAcentral is "partial 16S ribosomal RNA". It matches the Rfam family "Bacterial small subunit ribosomal RNA", at positions 524 to 776 of the family's 1533-position model. The record is from RNAcentral.
UACGUAGGUCCCGAGCGUUGUCCGGAUUUAUUGGGCGUAAAGCGAGCGCAGGUGGUUUAUUAAGUCUGGUGUAAAAGGCAGUGGCUCAACCAUUGUAUGCAUUGGAAACUGGUAGACUUGAGUGCAGGAGAGGAGAGUGGAAUUCCAUGUGUAGCGGUGAAAUGCGUAGAUAUAUGGAAGAACACCAGUGGCGAAGGCGAUUCUCUGGACUGUAACUGACGCUGAGGCUCGAAAGCGUGGGGAGCAAACAGG